Molecule: unclassified non-coding RNA, 467 nt
Filed under: Nassella neesiana
Lineage: Eukaryota; Viridiplantae; Streptophyta; Magnoliopsida; Poales; Poaceae
Description: partial external transcribed spacer 1
Source: RNAcentral
UAGCACGUCCUCAUCGACGAGCCGACAUGGAGACUGGCACACGCCAGCCAGCUAGUGGCAUGAAGUGGCAAUCACCGAGCCGACUGUCGUACAUUGAGAGAGCUUUCGUUAGGGACGCGACCGCAACGGGUCACGAGCCUUUAUCAUUUGCAACAUCCGAAACCAAUAGUGCGAGCGAGGUGGCCUUGGAAGCACCGGGCACGUAGGGCACCAGCACCACGAGGCAACGCCGCACGAACUAUUAGGCCGCAGCGGAACUCCCUUGGGGGUCCACAGCGAGGCAACCGUGUAUGAAGCACAACUUCCCGUAGUUUGGGUACCAGCAUGCAAGCACUCGUCGAUGGAGCGGAAUGGUUAGAACCGCAAGAAUGAUAGGAUAUCGGCGCCAGUAGUCGGCCGCACAUCGGCGGGGGUCCUGCUGGCAGACACGAGUCCAAGACAACUCAUGCGCUCGCGUAGCCAACUGG